CCAGUUGGCAAUCUAUGAGAAUGAGAGCCUCAAAUUUGGGAGGAGAGAUCUCAAUAUCUUCGAAUUGCGGCAUAAAAAAGGAAGUGAGGGAGAUGCUCCCGGUGGUCGUGUUCAAGGAGAGCUUCUUGAUCAGGGAAACACAGUUGAGUAAUCUCUCAUUGCUGCUUAUAUUGCUGUGAUAAAAUUAUGUUGUUAUUAAUGUUGGAACAUUGUGUUUGUGGUUUUCGUAUGAUCCUAUGCUCCUUAGUUUGGUUUUUGCACCCGGCACAAAUAAAUCGCAAUUUUAGCUGGGAUGUGAGGUUGGUCUUAUAAAUCCAACCUUAGCUCAGAUGUACAACCAAAGCCUAUAAAGAUGUUUCUUGUGGUUAUUUAUUGAAAGAUAAACCUUAAAAUAUUGGGAGUUUGUUGGGAGUUGCUUGUUUGUUACAUGAAUUUGAACAAGAAGAGUUGUGUCUCGUCUAACUGCUAACCUUCUAGACUUUAUGGUGAUCCCUUGUGUUACAAAUAUUUUUUCUGGACAGGGUUCUAGGACUAUGUAGAGGGUUAAAUCUAUAUUGAUGACUACUCAAAGGUUUGUACCCUUCUAUUACUUCGAUGGAGAAAGAUGAGACUUUGUGUUUGUUUUCUUUUUCAAAUCUCAAUUGAGUUUCUUACCGUUCAGGAUUUCAUUAGAAGUGUGAGGUUAUUUAUUGUAUGUGCAAUUACCUACAUAAUCACUCUGAAGGACAUGUUGAAUAUUACUCUUUUGCUUGUCGACUCUUUUGUCUUGUGAAUUUACAUUUUAGUCAUGAUGUAAACUCUUCCUCAAAUUAGAGAGGUUUGGAGAUAAUGUUUUUUAUGCAGGCUUGACGUCUUAGUUUUUUCACUUAAUUAUGUGACGAGACUGAUUCAAUUCAUGAAGAGAUGAACAUUGUUCAAAGAGGUGCUGGUAUCUUGAUCGAAGAUACUGUGAGUCUUCUUUCAGACUGUUCAUCUGUCAUUAGCUCUUAAUUAUCUGUCACUUUCAUUCUUUAGAUAUUAGAUAGGAGGUUUAUUGUUCUUUUUGAUACAGUAAAUUCUCUUGAUAGAAGCUCCAUAGUUAUAUUCAGAACUUCAUCUGAUACAAAAACGUGUUUCCUGAUAUUUGACCUUUAUUCUAAAUGAUUUUUUGUGCAAUUGCAAUUAAAGGAGUUAAUCAUAUAUCUUUUAUGGAAAAUAUCUGUGUCUUUAUCGUAGUCUAGGUAUUUUUUGGUUGAUGUCUUUGGUUUAAUUGCUGCAAUGACGUUUUUAAAAAAUCUUUUUUAAAGUUUUGUGAUAACCAACUUGUGAUUUUAUUUAUAAAAAAAGAUCAAGUUUUGGUCACGUCAGUUAUGCAUGCCAAAACUUGAUACCUGUAAUUUUUCAUGUUUAAAUUAAAUCGGGGUCGAAACUGCGGGUCCAAAGAUACUAAAUACUCUUUGUGUGCAUUAUUGAAGGUUUCCAUGCCACACAAGACAUAUUUGAUCAAGGACUGGUACUAUGUGUGGAUGUUUCGGUAAGUUUUCAUCAAAUGGUUUUCAGGGACAACCAUUUGAUGUCAUUAGUAUGGUUUCUGUUGCUAAGAAUCGAAUUAAAGAAUUAUCUAGGGAAUGCUCGUGAUUUUGAUCGUUGUAAAAAGGGUUAGUUUUGAGGAUAAGUUGGACAAAAGCCUCAACCAUGGAGAUGAGCCUAGUGAAUUUUGAUUGAUUUUUAAUGAGGCAAUUGUUUCAAUGAUGAGAUAGUCCACCUUCAGAAUCGGGUUUCCCAAACGUCCAAAAUUGCUUAAAGAUAGUGUACGUAGGGUCAGAACCCUAGAUUCGAUUUAAGCUUUAAUAAAAUUAAAACAAUCAGGUUGGGCCUGCAUUGCUAACCUGCCUGAAACUUCGUCGUUUUCUUUCGUAAUAUUGUUUCUUAUAGUUAAAACAUGGUUUCUUUAAAAAAACUAACAAGAAGGCAUAGGGUACUCUACAGAUUUUAAUUUAGAUUUUAAUUUAUUUUAUGUAGGAGCUUUGGUACUAAUUUAAAGAAAUAAAACAUUUACCUUCUUAUAUGUAGUUUCCGAAAUUUGACCAUCUACUAGCUUUUUAUUGUAUGUUAUUGAAUGCCUACGUAAUAUUGUUUCUUAUAGUUAAAACAUGGUUUCUUUAAAAAAAUAACAAGAAGGCAUAGGGUACUCUACAGAUUUUAAUUUAUUUUAUGUAGGAGCUUUGGUACUAAUUUAAAGAAAUAAAACAUUUACCUUCUUAUAUGUAGUUUCCGAAAUUUGACCAUCUACUAGCUUUUUAUUGUAUGUUGCUGAAUGCCUAUCUAGCGCAACAGUUCUUGUUGGUAACCCGUUUCACCUGAUUAAUCUCUAGAGCUUAACCAGUCCACUUUUUUAUACUCUUGUUUACCGUAUAUGCUUCCUUAAUAGUCAUAGACAUAUAAAACAGUUUGGUGUUUGCAUCUUCAACUGACAGAGAUCCUUGACUUGAUGUCACUGGGAUUCAUGACGUGUAACUGGAAGGGAGAAACUAGAUGGAAAAAAUCCGAACCCUAAAGGCACGAGAUGAAUUUGAUGCCGUGAGAGCAAUUGGAGUGGUGGGGGAGUUCAUGGAAUUGGGCUCUUUUUACUUAUGGGGUUUUUAUUUGUCAACAUUUCUAGAGGAAACGUGGAUAAAUCCCAACGUUUUACUCAAAUGUUGGUAAACCUUUGUGGUUAGCUACCGAAAUGUAGUGUAUGCUCCAGCUCAAGGAGUGUUGAGAAUAAUAGUAUGUUAGGAAGGGUAUAUUGAGAAUAUAAGAUGGAGAGGCUUUAGAGAGAUGAUUAGAUAUCAGGAAUAUGAUUAGGUAUGACCAAGGUAUAUGAUUAGAUAUGAUUGAGGGUAUAAAGGAAUAUGCUAAGGAUAUGUUUAGCAUAUUCCUAAAGUACGUAGGAUAUCUUUUUAUCUUCAAGUACUAUAAUAAAUAAUAGAAAAUAACUACAGUUAUUUACCAAUGUUGGGAGUUAUCCAUGUUUCCUCUAGAAAAGUUGAGCCCAACAAAUAAAAGAGCCCGACGAGUAAAAAAUGCGUGAUCCCCCACUACUCAAAUUCCUCUCGCGUCUUUAGGCUUUGGGAAUUGAGGAUUCCCCCACCCCCAGCCCCCCUGCUCACCUCAAGCUUCCUUUCUCCUCUCCUCUCCUCUCGCGGCUUUAGGGUUUUUGCGGGUUUGGGAAUUUUCUUUUGUUUCUCCAGAUUCGCUCUUGCAGUUCCUCGAUGAGAAUCUCGCAACAUCAAGUCAAGGAUCUCUUUCCAUAGGCCUCUCUAACUCUCUAUGGUUUUCCCUUGUUCUCACAAGAGAGUUAUUCAGUGUGUGUUGAUAAACAGAAAGCACCUAUAGGUGGAAUGUCCAUGAACUGCCAGAGCUAGAAAUAUUAUAUAAUGUCAAUUUUGUUUAAGUGCAUACUAUGUUGUUUGUUAAACAACCUCAUAUGUACAAUCGAGAAAUUGACGUGAGAUUGUUUAUUAGUACUUAGCUUAUAUGUUCUACAUAUCUAUUUCAAUCCUAUUCUGGUAUUCUAUUUCGGCCUUCCAAUCAUGCUCUAUUUGUGUUGGGUCAUAUUUUGUGCGGGUAUAGGCAAAGUCUAGCAUGGCACUGAAAUAAAACAGGCAUUCAAUCUAUAAACCAGGCACAACAUGAUGUCAUACUUGAUACAUGCAUAUAUUUUGAGGACUUACCAAUUAGAAGCGGCAGAAAGUUAGCAAAUGGCUACGACUUAUUUGCAAAUAAUGAGUUGUACUAUGCACGUAGAGAACAAGUUUCUAUCUUCAUGUAUUGUGGGCAGUUUUGUCUUUGAUCUGACAUGAUUGUUGUAAUUCAAAGAGAACUUCUGAGUAGUGAAUAGCUAUAGAUAUUGCAAUAUGAACAUUAUUGUGUAUCAAAUCACUAAUGGACUGUGCAAUUACUUAAGUUUGAUGAUGCCUAAACUUUCCUCAAAUUCAGGAGACAUGUAAAUUUUGUGUAUCUUUGCAGAACACUGAGGAAUUAGAGAGAGUUGAGAUUUGCUGGAUGUGGUAAGAUUUCAUAAUCUCCAAGGUCUCACUCCUCAGUGAUGCAUUUCUUUUUGUUUUCUGAGAUUAGGCCAUUAUUAAUUUGAUUUAUUCAAGGCAAGGUUUGGUAUGACAGGAGGGGAGGGGAGGGACGAAACUAAAAGUCAUGUUUGGUAGGGAGUUUUGGAUGGUGAUGUGAGGUGCAGGCAGGGGAAGGACAAUGAAAAAUGAACUAAAAACUUACAGAAAAAUCCCUCUUGUUUUGGGAAGUCACAAAUAGGAGAGUGAUUUUAAUAAGGAUUCACCUUCCCUGGCUCCCUUUCAACCAAACACGAAGGUUAAAAGGAAUGUGCGUCCCUCCACCUUAUUGCACUCCCCUCCCCUCCCCUUCCCUAAUCAAACUCCCCUACCAGACCAAGCCCAGUUAAAUGGUAACCAGCUUAUGGAUGAGAUAAUUUUGAUAUAAAAUACAAAUGUAAAACAAAUGCAUAUCUAAGCGAAUGCGCCUAUUGUAUUCUGCUUAGUUUCCAGCUACCACUUGAACAUAGCAGAAAGUUUGUCCCUCCGUUUUCUGUAUUGGCUGGGCAAUUUCUUAUAGCCCAAUAAGUAUAGCAAUCUGCAUAGCUCCCGUUUUGUUUGCUUCAGUUCUUUUAUGAUAUUUGACACUUUAUAAGACUAUCUCAUUUGCAUCACAUUAAGCAUGUUAGGACUGACACGCAGCUCUUUGCGCCUUGAGCCUUGACAAUGGUGUCUGUAUAAGAGCCUUGCGCUUUGACAACGCUGUCUGUAUGCUCUGUAUGCUUAGGUGACUACCAAGCAGAGGACAGGCUUCAACGAAUACCCUUCUGUGGCCACACCUUUCAUGUUGACUGUAUCGACCACUGGCUUUCCACUCAUACAACUUGCCCACUCUGUCGAGUCUCACUUCUU
RNA transcript from Asparagus officinalis (garden asparagus), 4937 nucleotides. It is a transcript of the gene named RING-H2 finger protein ATL58-like, with no coding region annotated. Lineage: Eukaryota; Viridiplantae; Streptophyta; Magnoliopsida; Asparagales; Asparagaceae. The record is from RefSeq and is a predicted model, not a curated record. The transcript has 3 exons.